Molecule: ribosomal RNA, 494 nt
Filed under: uncultured bacterium
Lineage: Bacteria
Description: bacterial SSU rRNA
Rfam family: Bacterial small subunit ribosomal RNA
Source: RNAcentral
GACGCUGGCGGCGUGCCUAAUACAUGCAAGUCGAACGAACGGAUAAAGAGCUUGCUCUUUUGAAGUCAGUGGCGGACGGGUGAGUAACACGUGGGUAACCUGCCUCACAGCUGGGGAUAACAUCGAGAAAUCGAUGCUAAUACCGAAUGUGCUGAACAUCAUAAGAUGUUCAAGUGAAAGACGGUUUCGGCUGUCACUGUGAGAUGGACCCGCGCUGGAUUAGCUAGUUGGUAAGGUAAUGGCUUUACCAAGGCGACGAUCCAUAGCCGACCUGAGAGGGUGAUCGGCCACAUUGGGACUGAGACACGGCCCAAACUCCUACGGGAGGCAGCAGUAGGGAAUCUUCGGCAAUGGACGAAAGUCUGACCGAGCAACGCCGCGUGAGCGAAGAAGGCCUUCGGGUCGUAAAGCUCUGUUGUUAGAGAAGAACAUGGGUGAGAGUAACUGUUCACCCCUUGACGGUAUCUAACCAGAAAGCCACGGCUAACUACGUG